GGGAGGGUGGAUGUGCUCAGCUCCCUGAAGUGGGAGUCACACAUGGCAAUCCCCUGCCUGCACCCCACCACGUCUGGCUUCGGUGUCAGCCGCCAAGUUGGCAUCCCUGUUCCAUGCCUCAGCUGACACAGGGACAGCGAGGAUUUGCACCAUCUGGGCAUGGGGAAAGUGUGACCGAGGGACAAAUGUCACCUUUAUGCUGAUGGCACCAGACCCAAAGCACGCAGACAGCUCCUCCAGCAGCUCUGGAAUGGCUCUGGAGGGAGCUGCUUCUCAUGGCUCCUCCUGUCACCCUGGGGUGGGGGCAUCUGCACUCCUGAGACACAGCUAACCCAGCAAAGACAAGGAAAGACCGGUUAUAAAAUAAAAAGAGGCUUCCUAGA
Taeniopygia guttata (zebra finch) is the source of this 383-nucleotide non-coding RNA. NCBI's taxonomy places the organism in Eukaryota, Metazoa, Chordata, Aves, Passeriformes, Estrildidae. The record is from RefSeq and is a predicted model, not a curated record.